RNAcentral lists this ribosomal RNA (496 nucleotides) under uncultured bacterium. RNAcentral describes it as "partial 16S ribosomal RNA". It matches the Rfam family "Bacterial small subunit ribosomal RNA", at positions 28 to 507 of the family's 1533-position model. The record is from RNAcentral.
GAUGAACGCUGGCGGCGUGCCUAAUACAUGCCAGUCGAGCGAACAGACGAGGAGCUUGCUCCUCUGACGUUAGCGGCGGACGGGUGAGUAACACGUGGAUAACCUACCUAUAAGACUGGGAUAACUUCGGGAAACCGGAGCUAAUACCGGAUAAUAUAUUGAACCGCAUGGUUCAAUAGUGAAAGACGGUUUUGCUGUCACUUAUAGAUGGAUCCGCGCCGCAUUAGCUAGUUGGAAGGUAACGGCUUACCAAGGCAACGAUGCGUAGCCGACCUGAGAGGGUGAUCGGCCACACUGGAACUGAGACACGGUCCAGACUCCUACGGGAGGCAGCAGUAGGGAAUCUUCCGCAAUGGGCGAAAGCCUGACGGAGCAACGCCGCGUGAGUGAUGAAGGUCUUCGGAUCGUAAAACUCUGUUAUUAGGGAAGAACAAAUGUGUAAGUAACUAUGCACGUCUUGACGGUACCUAAUCAGAAAGCCACGGCUAACUACGUG